GGGGUAGUACCGGAUUCGACGGGGACUUUAAACCCGGAUAAGCCAUCCAUGUACCGAUACAUGUAAAAAGCCGGAAAUCUAAACAUAAACGCUGAAGAUAAUUUAGCAUACGCUGCUUAAUGCAGCGCGGUAACUCCCCUGUUCCCGUACAGCGGAUGCUUACCGUCGACUUUACGGGGAACUGCUCUGCGUAAGCUUUGCCGCAGAGACGGAUCCAUGAAGCUACCUAAACAGCGUCCCCUGCUUACCGGGGUACGCUUGCGGGAAUAGAAGUAGAUAAGCUAUGAUGGUAGAAAGUCCGGCGGAGGGGUUUUCGGACGCGGGUUCGACUCCCGCCUGCUCCACGA
This 347-nucleotide transfer-messenger RNA is filed under the name Lachnospiraceae. RNAcentral describes it as "UBA1267 sp017958935 Standard tmRNA". It matches the Rfam family "transfer-messenger RNA". From Rfam's summary of the family: Bacterial tmRNA, also known as 10Sa RNA or SsrA, is named for its dual tRNA and mRNA-like properties. Its role is to liberate the mRNA from a stalled ribosome. To accomplish this part of the tmRNA is used as a reading frame that ends in a translation stop signal. RNAcentral also lists the same sequence under 1 other name. Lineage: Bacteria; Bacillati; Bacillota; Clostridia; Lachnospirales. The record is from RNAcentral.